GACGAACGCUGGCGGCGUGCUUAACACAUGCAAGUCGAACGGAAAGGCCUCUUUCGGGGGGUACUCGAGUGGCGAACGGGUGAGUAACACGUGAGUAACCUGCCCUUGACUUUGGGAUAACUUCAGGAAACUGGGGCUAAUACCGGAUAGGAGCUCCUGCUGCAUGGUGGGGGUUGGAAAGUUUCGGCGGUUGGGGAUGGACUCGCGGCUUAUCAGCUUGUUGGUGGGGUAGUGGCUUACCAAGGCUUUGACGGGUAGCCGGCCUGGGAGGGUGACCGGCCACAUUGGGACUGGGAUACGGCCCAGACUCCUACGGGAGGCAGCAGUGGGGAAUAUUGCACAAUGGGUGGGAGCCUGAUGCAGCAACGCCGUGUGCGGGAUGACGGCCUUCGGGUUGGAAACCGCUUUCGCUCAUGACGAAGCUUUGUGUGACGGUAGUGGGUAAAGAAGCACCGGCUAACUACGUG
Molecule: ribosomal RNA, 467 nt
Filed under: uncultured bacterium
Lineage: Bacteria
Description: partial 16S ribosomal RNA
Rfam family: Bacterial small subunit ribosomal RNA
Source: RNAcentral